Long non-coding RNA from Vidua chalybeata, 390 nucleotides. RefSeq lists it as uncharacterized. The transcript is spliced from 2 exons. The record is from RefSeq and is a predicted model, not a curated record. NCBI's taxonomy places the organism in Eukaryota, Metazoa, Chordata, Aves, Passeriformes, Viduidae.
GUGGACUUCAUUUUAAGAACCUCCCCCAGUGUGAAUGUUCAUCUGAAUCAAAGGCUAAAUGUCUAAUUCAGGCUGAAACCAAUGCACUUGACAAGAGGGAGGAGGCAAAAGUGAGAAGUCCAGCUUUGCCUCCUAGUAGGAGUUCCUCCAUUCCUGAGAGAGAGAAAAGCCUCAACUGAUGAUGCCUGGGCAGCUCCUGGGGAAAAGCAGGAAGGAAAUGAUGCUCAGACAAGACCCUCAGGUGGUGAAAAGAAUUUCCUUGUGUCCCAGACUGGACUGUGGACAAAUUGCUACAAAAGGAGGAGUCACUGCAUUGCCAGGCUAAAAGAAAGACUGAAGGGACAAGUCCAAACCACAGGAACCCAUUUGUCAGAAGAAAGCUGAUCAUAA